Dermacoccus sp. PE3 is the source of this 123-nucleotide non-coding RNA. Lineage: Bacteria; Bacillati; Actinomycetota; Actinomycetes; Micrococcales; Dermacoccaceae. The record is from Rfam.
CGGGCGCUGCUAGGCUCCCGUCGUCGCCUCAAGAUCGAGGAACCCGGUGAGAAUCCGGGACGGUCGCGCCACUGUGAGCGGGUUUUCCGCGAGUCAGGAACUCGAGGGCGAAGCAUUGUCGGG